Long non-coding RNA from Calidris pugnax (ruff), 3382 nucleotides. RefSeq lists it as uncharacterized. The record is from RefSeq and is a predicted model, not a curated record. NCBI's taxonomy places the organism in Eukaryota, Metazoa, Chordata, Aves, Charadriiformes, Scolopacidae. The transcript has 2 exons.
GAAAUGUACGUUGUAGAAUAUAUAUCUGCAUAACCUAUGCUCAUUUCACGUGUCCUUCCAUCCACAGCUACAGUAAUUUCAGCAGAAUCUAUGUGGUGAGUAGCGAAUGCAGAUUUUUAAUCCCCAGCUUUUAAGUCAUCUGAGGCUCUGAAAUCAGUACCAUAAGAUUAUAGUUAGAUAAGGAAAAUUGCAUGAGGUUAGGUUCACCAUUCUGGUUUGUUUUGGUAUCAGGAUGAACAGGGUUUAAUAACACAGGCCGGAAUCUCCUUGCAAUGAAAGGGGCUGGUGCAGACCCUCCCUCUGUCAAGACGUCUAGUGACACCCCAUUUCUCAGCUGAACUUGAAGAAACCCCCUUGGCAUCCCUGGGGGAAAGGGGCUGCGUGGGUCCUUCCAUGCCAGGGACCCCAGGCUCUUCUGCCUUCCGCCUUCUGCCUUUGUCAGAGAAGGAAAGUGUCUGUCCCCUGGUUUGGAGACAGCCUUCCUACGGCAAAUCUGUGCCUUGCUGGGCUGUUUGCUCCGCAGCCAGCCCCAAACAAUGCAGCGCCAACAGAUGUGUGAACUUUUCCAUUCAGUGUAAUGAAGUGUUAGUUGCAAAACAGAGUUUUGGCGAUUUGAAUUGCCUCAUGUGCAUCAGGCUGUGAAAGAGGUUUAAAAUGAAUCAUGAAUAAGUUAUAAAUAUUGUAUUUUUGGAAUUAUCAGCUCUAACAAGUCCACUGGCAAUAGGAAGUGAAGGCUUAGGCAGAAUGGGGCCUGGUGUCUCUCAUUAAAGUUACCAGUGUUUCUAGAUGAAAUUACAGCAUUGUGGUGACGUAGCACUCAGUCCACAGAAAAAGCUAAGAAGAUACUUCCAAGUUUUCAAAACUUGCUGGAAAAAAGAGAAGGCUUUUGGAUGAAAUCUGUCAUCUAACUUCUGCCAAAGAGGAGUGUUUAGAAAAUGUGCACCAUAAUAUUUCAGCACAGUGCUUGAUACGGAGUUAUUGGAUGGCUAAGGGUAGCCUUUGAGGGUAAGAAUUUUCUGUCUCUUGUUUUUUUGUUCACUGACAUAGUUAGAAAAAAUGAUUUUGACACUUCUAACUUGCUACAUGCAUGAGUUCCGGUGGAAAGGCCACUUUUGGUGCAGACUGGAAAUCCUCCUUGCUGAACUAAGGUGCGCUGAGGAGUAAAGAAACUGCAACUCCAAAUGAUAAACUACCUGUGCUGGCACUUUUCCUCUUUUCUGGAGAGAAUUGCAGUGGAAGUCUCUUGUUCAAGCCCAGUGACAGCAGCAUGGAGGAGCACUGUGGGAGUGGAGGUCAGUGUUCGUGCAUCUCAUGGGCUCAUCUGCACGGUCCUCCUUUGGUCUCGGGUGGGUGACAAAAUCCCCCGGGCGGUUGGAUGCUCAGUCACCUCAGGGUGGUAGGACUCGGUGGUGACACGGCGUCCGCGAGGAGCAAUAGUCACCCUUCCACCUACUUACAUUAACUGGCAAAGGGCCGCUUUAGAAAGUUGUUCUUAAAUAAUAACUCCGAGGUGUUUGCUGCUUAGAAGAUCAGAAACUAGACAGGUGGAUACCUGGUGGCAUUAAUGGAAGAAAAGUGCAAGCAAACAAAUGCCUCCUGGUUUCUGAUUUAUCCUCUGAGUGAGCUAUCGUGAGACAAAGCCUAAACUAGUCAUUAUUGUUGAAUAUAAACAUUUCCUACAAAUUCUUUGUUGUUUCCAAUUACAAUAUUCUUUGCUUUUUUUCAGUAGGUUUUGGUCAGUUACUGCUGAUUUUGGAAAAUUAAGAGGGGGCAGGCCAAGGCAAUGACUCAGAGAUGGAUAAGAACAUACUAUAUUGCUAAAUCUUUGGGGGAAAGAGGCUGUGUGUUUCUGGGUUUAUAAAGAAAUGGGAGAAUGGUGCCAUAAUUCCAGUUUGGAUCUUCUCACAUAGAGUGAUAUUGAUGAUGCUGAUGAGAAUAAUGUUGAGAUACAUUCCAUCUUGGCCUUUUAACAAUCUUGUUUGGAGACAUUUGGAAUCUCUUACAGAAAACACACAAACUCACUUUCCCUUACUGCAUUUAGAAAAAUUCAGAUUAAGCUUCAUUCUACAAAGGUGCUUUGCUUUAAGUAGCAGUUCUGCAAAGCAUAACUUCACAUAUUUCUUUUACCCUAUGCUUUAUUACUGAGAGUAUCUACAGGAAAACAGGGUCUUUGUUUAAAAGUUUCUGCUUCUUAUUCAUCACAGCUCAUUGGGUUGGAAGCAAUUAUGGUACCUUCUGCAGAAGGCUCCAACCCCUUCAGAGCAGGAAAAUAUGAGCAGGAAUAGACAAACUUUUAAGAAUCUAAGCUCUUGUUUUCAUGCAAAUGUCCUCAUUUCCUUAGUAAUAAAGAAAAGGGAGUAAAUACGUGACAUACAGUGGAAAAAAAAAAAGGAAUGUUUCAAAUGUGUUAACGUUUGUACUUGGGCAUCAAAUGUUUUUUAAUGUUAUAAUGAUGCCUUACAUUCAACUUUGCUUGCUUUUAUCCUGAAGGAGAAGGUAUGCACACAGGAUCUUAUUUGUGUGUGUGUGUAGGAUUUUUUAUUCUUUCUACAGGUAGUGCAUCUUUCUCAGCUAGAGCAACACCAGCUCUGAACCAACUACUGGAAUAUCACCCAGUGUGUUGUCUAAACCAAGCCAGAACUAAUCAGGCAGUGAUGAAAAUGCUAGCAGCCUACCUCUGUUAGUGUUCUCAACUUUAUUGCCACGGAGGAAGAUGUGAUAAUUGGAAGGUUUUCCAGAAAGUUCCAGAUACGGCUCUACUACCGUCAAGUCAGGCACUACUAGACAAAGCCAAUGGUGGAGUGUGGUUCUAACCAGCUGGCACUGUCCUCCUUAAAACAGGUGCAAUCUGUGGAGGAAGGAGAAAAAAAAAAGAAAGAAUUACUCAAUCUGAAAUAUUUGGCAAAAUACAACAUUAACCCCUCCCCGAUAUAAAAUACCAUCGAAAUUUUACUAUUGUAUCUGAUGUAAAAGUAAAAUCCAAAUUUUAGUUUUGCAUCAGCAGCGUGGAGUCUUCCUGCCACUUCACAUGAAGAGUUUGCUAGCUAAAGACCAAAACAGAAGAAAUGAGUGUCACCUCUCACUGCAAAUAUCACCUCUUUCAUUAUUUUAUGGGUUUCAGCUUCUUAACCUAAUUGAUCUUGCUUCACAGGGGAAAUUUGCUCAAAGCACUUCCCAAAUUUUUGCCACUGUACUUUUACUAUAAGCUACUCAUGCUCUUUAAAAUCAAACACUGUGCACAUUUUGCAGUUGUACGAGUAGGGUCCCAGAACCGUCAUUAAAAAAGUGCCCUUUCAGAAACUGUCAUUACUGGUAGCUUCUGACUUAGUGACAUUUAUGCACCGUUUCAAUAUUCUGAAUAAAGUUGUCAUCGAAACACCGA